UACGUCCGUCUGCCCUUUCUGUCACUUUAAGCGUUAUGUAUCCAAUUAGCUAAGAGCAGUUAAUUUGAGGACAUGUGUGGAAGAGCGGCGAGUUUAGCCGUAACCUACAUGGACAUUUACCAACCUGACACUUCAUUACAGGCGUAAACGGGUGUCAUCCAGACUUUGGAUGGAGUGCACAUCAGUGCAAGAAACAUGGCCAAGUAUUACUGUAGUAGCACAGACAUCAAGAGUACAUGGGACCACGUUGUCUCGGCUUUCUGGCAGAGGUACCCUAACCCAUUCAGCACCCAUGUUCUCACAGAGGACGUUGUGUACCGUGAGGUGACUGCAGACCACCGGCUGCUCUCCAGACGCCUCCUGAUGAAGACCAAUCGGUUGCCUCACUGGGCGGAGCAGUUCUUUCCAGGCGGCAUUUCUCGCUCCGUUUACAUCGUCGAAGAUUCGAUCGUGGACCCCGUCAGCAGGAGCUUGACCACAUACACCUGGAACCUCAAUCACGCCACUCUCAUGUCUGUGGAAGAACGUUGUGUUUUCCAAGAGUCAGCGGAGCAGCCAGCGACCACGCAGUUGAAACGGGAGGCAUGGAUAUCCUCGAGCAUUUAUGGCUUCUCCAAACCCAUUCAGGAGUUUGGAUUGGCCCGCUUCAAGAGCAACCAGGUGAAGGCCACGAAGGGACUGGAGUACGCACUGUCCAACCUGCAGGGAGAGGCGCCCCAGCGGCUGCUCAGGGACACAGUGAAGGAUGCAUCCCAGAAAGCCAAAGAGGCAGCCAAGACCCUGGCCUCCGCCGCCGCCGGCCCGCAGAAGCCCCGGCAGUACGUUUGGCAGUGAGGCGCAUCAAGCGCCGCACAGUACCUUGAUGUGCAUCCUGGCCCUUUUCAGCAAGCUCAGAGUGGUGUGUCGUGUGCUGUCUGGACCCAAAGGCACCAGCUUCUUCAGCUGCUCCAAGUAGAGUCGUAGUUUGGCACGUCUGCAAAUCACACAAGAACGAAAAACAUGGUGUCAUAAUUAUGACAGGGGAAGUGAGUAAACUGAUUUUGGAAGGCUUUACCAGCACUUGCAUUUGUCAGUUUGGACGUCACUUCGUUGGUAACCAACCACACCCGUCGCUGGAUGUGAGCGGGAGGAGGCGCCGGACGGCAAAAAAUGGCUCGGAGAAAGAGCGGCAUGUGCAGCACUGCUGGACGACCCCCUUCAUGUCUGCAACCAUGCAAACAGCAUGCACCCACUGCUGUUGUUGUUGCACGCUGACUUGAGCAGCAGCGUGGACAUGGAAUAAAAACACACUCAGACGUCUGGAGGCCUAGACGCUCCAGAAUUCCUCAGCAUGUGGGCUAUUCCGAGGAGAGCCCCUAUUAUGACACGCAGCCGGGAGGGCACUGCAGUCCAUCUGAAACAGGCUCUCUGUUCAUUACACCGUCAUGGAUACCACAGCAAUAAAAACAAAAACAGCAACAACAAAGGGCCAGACUGACAACAAGCCUUUUCAGACUUUCCAGCGUUUGAGAGCCCUUGUGCUUGCGAGGCAGUGGUUCCCACAGCUGUGAUGGGGAAGGCCCUAGGCAUCCGCGCUACAACGCUGUUUUUGCGGCACCGGAAAAGGGUUACAGUUGACCCUAUGAUAAUGUGGCAUCUGCACAAAAUCAUCUCCCAAGGAUGUCGCAGCACCGCCGAUCUCAAAGGCAAACAAAGAGCUUUACUCCACCGUGGAGGAAGUGUUGCUAUUCAAACAUGUGGGGAAACGUCCCAGUCAAAGCACACGGCAUGACCAGGAAACCAUUGAGAGGGAGGGGGCGCAGCAGAUCAACGCACACCUUUACAUGUUGUGUAAAAGCAUUGUGUGUGACAUGCAAAACUGUCUAAUGAUUACAAGCCUGUAAAGUAGCUUUCCAUCAGCUUUUAUAUAGGAUAGAAAACUCCCCCUCACAACAUUUCCCACUCCCAGGAGGGAAAUCGAGGCUACAAAAAAGACGGAGCAGGGUUUUUCUUGUCCUUUGCGUUAUUUAUAUUCACAUAUAUCUUCUGUGACAGAAGCAAAGCAACAAAACUCUUGCCAAUAAAA
This is an RNA transcript of Cololabis saira (Pacific saury), 2065 nucleotides long. It is a transcript of the gene named PRELI domain containing 1b, with no coding region annotated. The record is from RefSeq and is a predicted model, not a curated record. Lineage: Eukaryota; Metazoa; Chordata; Actinopteri; Beloniformes; Belonidae. The transcript has 9 exons.